UACGUAGGGUGCGAGCGUUAAUCGGAAUUACUGGGCGUAAAGCGUGCGCAGGCGGUCUGUUAAGACCGAUGUGAAAUCCCCGGGCUCAACCUGGGAACUGCAUCUGUGACUGCAUAGCUAGAGUACGGUAGAGGGGGAUGGAAUUCCGCGUGUAGCAGUGAAAUGCGUAGAUAUGCGGAGGAACACCGAUGGCGAAGGCAAUCCCCCUGGGCG
Molecule: ribosomal RNA, 213 nt
Filed under: uncultured bacterium
Lineage: Bacteria
Description: partial 16S ribosomal RNA
Rfam family: Bacterial small subunit ribosomal RNA
Source: RNAcentral